UGGCUGGGCUGUUUCUGCUGUAUGUAAGUAGAGGCUGUGGCUUCCUAGGGGAGUGUGUGCUCCAGGCUGCUGCCCUUCACACUUAGGCUCGUGUGCCUUUGUCCUUGUGCCUUACACCUGUGGGGUCCUGGCCUGCAUGGAAAAAGGAAUCAGGCUUCAGCCUGGGCGGCCGUGGCUUCAGAGCUCUGCCAAAGAAGGCCCAUGAAGGCCAACAGCACCGUCUGGGUUGGAGUGACAGCGGGGCUGGGGCUCUGUGCAGUCCCACUGGCAGGUAGCCUGCAUCUUGGCUGUGGUACUGUGGCCACCCUCACAGCCAGAACCUCAUCUCCAGCCCCAGGAUCCACUCCUAGGUUCGUCUGUCAGGGUCCCUGAUUGGCCCUGAGCCCAGAAGAGAGGCCUCUACAUACACAGUGGCCAUUCCUUCCCAAAUGAGCCUCACACCCCC
RNAcentral lists this long non-coding RNA (445 nucleotides) under Homo sapiens (human). RNAcentral describes it as "HSALNT0145595". Lineage: Eukaryota; Metazoa; Chordata; Mammalia; Primates; Hominidae. The record is from RNAcentral.